CACGCUGUAAACGAUGAAUACUAGGUGUGGGGGGACUGACCCCUUCCGUGCCGCAGUUAACACAAUAAGUAUUCCACCUGGGGAGUACGGCCGCAAGGUUGAAACUCAAAGGAAUUGACGGGGGCCCGCACAAGCAGUGGAUUAUGUGGUUUAAUUCGAAGCAACGCGAAGAACCUUACCAGGGUUUGACAUCCAACUAACGAAGCAGAGAUGCAUUAGGUGCCCUUCGGGGAAAGUUGAGACAGGUGG
This 249-nucleotide ribosomal RNA is filed under the name uncultured Oscillospiraceae bacterium. RNAcentral describes it as "partial 16S ribosomal RNA". It matches the Rfam family "Bacterial small subunit ribosomal RNA", at positions 796 to 1041 of the family's 1533-position model. The record is from RNAcentral. Lineage: Bacteria; Bacillati; Bacillota; Clostridia; Eubacteriales; Oscillospiraceae.